Non-coding RNA from Lolium perenne, 2935 nucleotides. The record is from RefSeq and is a predicted model, not a curated record. NCBI's taxonomy places the organism in Eukaryota, Viridiplantae, Streptophyta, Magnoliopsida, Poales, Poaceae.
AGUCCGCGUCGGAGUUUCGAUCGGGCUCCGAAACGGGUUAACUUAGUUAGGUGGCUUCCUGGACAUUGUUGUAGUGAAGGAGAGUGCGUGUCGUGAUAUCCACCUGUCGUAAGUGGGUUGAGCGUGCGUGUGGGCACAUUUGGGCACCCCUGCAUGGUUACAAUCUUAUCAAUAAGCCGUGUCCGCGGUUAUGUACGACUUGGAGCUGUAUGACUCGACCAUAGACAACUUACACCUGUUGUUUCAAUACUAAUAACUUGCGUAGUAAGAUAGAACAACUCAAAUAAUAACUGGUUAAAACUUGAAAACCGUGUGAGUGCCUUUGUAAGUACUUCUUUGCGAAGGGGGAACGCAUCGAGCUGUGUUAUGUUUGCAGAGUAUAGAACUGUUAGUUUUUGCGCUCUCUCAUCUCCUCUGAUUAGACGAAUGUUGUAGAUUGUCUCUAUAGGUUUUUAGUGCUUACGCGCUGCCGCUUAACCCCACCAUAUUGCCUAUGACACUCUUGCGUCCUCUAAGUCCCCUGCGUGCCUCAAGUACAAAGGACGACUGGUUGACGAAUGCUUAUACGUCUUGAAGUCUUGUUAAGUACGAACUCGUACUUAUUGCUGCUUCUACGGGAUAUAACCGGGCAGGUAUGAAGAUAUGUUCGAUGAAGACGAGUUAGCAAGGUUACCCUUCCGGCUUGGCCUGGGCAGGGUUAUGGACGCCACUGGUUAUCUUCAGGACUCUUAGUCCAAUUUGUAUCUUGUCCGUACUCGGACGUAUUUGAUCUUCUGUAUGAUUCAGAUCUUUGUAUUGUAUAUUUGUAUCUUGACUCGUUGGAGUCGUUGUUGUAUAUAUGUAUCUUGUGGGCUCUAUUGUAAUCCUGUUGUAAUGUUACCGCUCGUGUUAAUUCCUCUGGCAUCACGUGUGUGAUUCGUCGCGCACGUCGUGUCGGAGGGCGUCUCUGGAUCGAUAUCGUGCGGAUUUCGGCGGGUUCGCUGGGAUCCUCAUGGUACCAGUUCCGGGGCGUCACAAGUUGGUAUCAGAGCCUCAGGUUGACGGUACCCACUAGUCCAGCCUGUAGGAUAACCUUGCCAAUGGUCAUUGAGUUUAGAGCGUCCAAAACUAUUUUCCAAAAUUCGUUGGAUAGAUCUGAUUAGCUCUGAUUUUUCUCCUUACCUCUGUUCUUUCUCCUCGUACCUUUGCGAGUUUUGAGUCUUCUCUCUUAUCUGAGUUUCUCCGAGUCUUAGGUUCCGACGCGGGUUGGACGAUCUUUGCCCCUCACCUAAUAGGUUCGAUCUUCGGAGGAUCCGACAGAAGCGCAUCAUCAACAGCGGAACAACGACUUCUUGUUAGUGGUGUCGACCUUCCUUCAUGGAGCAAGAAUUCUUGUUAGUGGUGUCGAGAAGAUCAACACAUCGCCAGAAGAAGGUUCCACCUCGAGGUCGGGUGAUUGUCAACAUGGUACAAGAAGACUCGAUAGUUUAACCAACUUCCCCUUGGCUUGACGUGGAACCUCGGGGCGAGGUUCCUUGUUAGUGGUGUCGAUUGUAACGGCCCCGGGUAGUACCCCUAUUAGAUUUGUUUGUUCUUUUCAUUUUGUGCAUCAUCAUGCAUCAUGCAUCAUAUCAUCCAUGUUUUAACAAAAUAAAACUAUUUUAUAAAACCCUAAAUAUUUUAUUCCCCUCUCAUAUGGUUUCUAUAUGUAAACCCUCCCUAGUGUCUAUUCUUAUUUAUCAAAAUCCCAAACCAAAUAGUUUGAAAAAUAAAAAUUGCAAAGCUAUUUUCAAAUCCAAAUACAAGGUUUAGUUUCUGAAAACGUUGCACUGGCGUGUCUUCAUCCUUCUUUCCAUCUCCCUAUCUUUGAAGUCUUGAAGGGCCGAGUGUGUACAUCUUUUGAUCCAUAAUGUUUGAGCCCAAGAAAAAUCGCCACCGAAUCAGCAGCCAGAGCCCACCCACUCUAAUCCUCCUUGGCAUAUUCUCUUCUUCCUGUACGGCAUGGUGGAAGUGCCUCCACGUCGCCUCCCUACUGAUGGACACCGACGCCUCCUUCACUAUAAAAAACCAGCAGCUGCUGUCCCAUCCAACCCUAGCUCUGUUUCUUCCCCUACCGCCGCCGCUCCCUUCCUUUUCUUCCUCCUGCCAGCAGUCAGCACACGCGCUCCGCGUCCGGCGGCAACCGCUCGUCGCCGUCCUCUUCCACAAGCGCACGCAGCAGCCUCCGUCGUCGCCGCCUCAGGCAUCACUUCGUCCCCGUCGACUUCGCCUCCGCAAGUUCGUCCUCGAACCGCGACCUUCUGCGUUCGUGCGUGUAUCCACCUGCAACGUCUUCGCCGGCGCUCGCCUCCGCCAAGAUCGUCGUCCGCCGGCAGCACUUAUCGCCGUUCCUCCGUUCUCCGUCGCGCGGCCAUGCGGUGCGUCCUCGCACGAGACGCGGACCAGAGGCCGUCUCCGACCGCGUUUCUCUUCACUGCGAGCUCACCCUGGGCCGCUCUGUUCCACGUCGCCGGCAUCAGCAUCCUCGACGCAAACAUCCUCGACCUGCCUGCCCGCUUCUCCGGCCCCAGGAUCGUCCGCCCUUCGUCUUCUACUUCGUCCAGAACGCUGGCCAGCCUCCGCUGCUCGUAGCCGUGCGCCGUCAAGAUCGUCUCCGACAUCCGCGAUCCCGUCGCUAGGAACGCCGUCUCCGGCCGUGUGCGCCUGCAUGCCGCAGCUUCACCUCGCACACAGCAAUCCAAAGCUUAAGCUUUAGUGGGCCCCUUUGUCAGCGUCUACCGGCGCCAAAUCAGCAGCCUCUGACCCGGUCAGCAUGCAGUAACCGUCUGGAUCCGCCUGUCUACCUUGGUGGCCGGCUACUCCCUGGCAUUUGCUUCUUCCCGGAUAGGAUCGCGAAGUGGUGUGGUGAGAUACGACGAGUCCUCCGGAUGUUCUUCGGCAAGCUUUAACAGGCAAG